RNAcentral lists this ribosomal RNA (253 nucleotides) under uncultured bacterium. RNAcentral describes it as "partial 16S ribosomal RNA". It matches the Rfam family "Bacterial small subunit ribosomal RNA", at positions 524 to 776 of the family's 1533-position model. The record is from RNAcentral.
UCCGGAGGAUGCAAUCGUUAUCCGGAAUUAUUGGGCGUAAAGCGUCCGCAGGUGGCUAGACAAGUCUGCUGUCAAAGACUGGAGCUCAACUCCGGGCAGGCGGUGGAAACUGUCGAGCUAGAGUACGGUAGGGGUAGAGGGAAUUCCCAGUGUAGCGGUGAAAUGCGUAGAGACUGGGAAGAACACCAGUGGCGAAGGCGCUCUACUGGGCCGUAACUGACGCUCAGGGACGAAAGCUAGGGGAGAGAAAGGG